RNAcentral lists this small RNA (177 nucleotides) under Chelonoidis abingdonii (Abingdon island giant tortoise). RNAcentral describes it as "TUC338 (ENSCABG00000003743.1)". Lineage: Eukaryota; Metazoa; Chordata; Testudines; Testudinidae. The record is from RNAcentral.
UUGACAGCUCUGGAGAAUGAAGUCCUCUAUUCACAGAACAGACAGAGUAUGGACAACAGCAAUACAAGUUUCUCCUGGUGGGAUAUCAAUGCUGUCACCUGAACUUGAAGUGACAACUUCCCUUCAGUAUAGAACUUUAAAAUGGGCACUUCUGUAACUAAUGAAUACUUAACUUUC